GCUGGGGGCUCAAAGUCCGUGAGAGAGACAGGCAUUGCGUGCGCUAACAGCCAAUCUACGAUUCUGGCAUCGCCGCAUCGAGCACUCCUGGGGCAUCGUCGCCCAUCGCAGAUCGCCGGCGAUUGGUCCUCGGCAGCGACGGCGAAUCGCCAACGGCGCACUGGCCUGCGCACACUCAUCGGCAAAUCGGCUUCACGGCGGCAAUUGCAACAGCGAACCCAUCAAAACUUGGCAGUGCUAGUUGGCACAAAAGAGGCGCUAGAGAAUGAAGUUAUAUGUGUGAAAGAUGAAGAACAAGCGUGGUGAUUUGAAUGAGAUUGGAAACGCUUGUACGACAGAGCUUCAAAGGCACACAAGGUAACUUCGACCACAAUGCCGACAGGGAAGUCUCUUUGAGGUUGAAGAUCAAAAUAUGAUAGAUUAGUGCCUCAGGAGACGGCAAAGGAUGCCUUUUGCAGAGAAGGCCACAAGAGGAUGUGUGGACCAUAAGAAGCAGCUGCCAACUUGCAGGGAGUCAUCACUAUGGCUGCUUCAUUCUGCGCAGCACUCGACUGGCAGCUCUGGCCCAUGACCAGCACGAUGCUACCGGGCACCAUCUUCGGAACCGGAUCCACCUGCAGAUCUCCAGGGUAGCCCUCCUCUCCGAUGACAGGGAAUCAUAUAGGUCGCUUGAGAGCAGCGGCCAAUCUUCGAUCUGACGGAGGUGGGUGACCAGACGGGGCACAUCAUAGAGGCAUAACAUAAUAGCAAAACUGUCAGAAAUUGCAGUGCAAAUAACAAAAUUGUCAAGGUGAGUUUCAUGCAAUGGCAUAACAAAUAUACUUAAAGCCUUCGAACAACAAUAAUUUGAGGAUUCAUUGAAGUGGAUAACAACUUUACCUUAUUACCUGCGCCAUUUAUAUUCUGUUUCACGAGUAUCCAACAGUGGAAGUGCGGCAAGGUGCUUUAAUCUAAAGGGCAGGUCCUGUGUUUUAAAGAUCAAAUAACAGCAUACCAAGCACUACACUUCAGAAACAAUUGCUCAGAAACAGGCAAUAUGUUGAGUACAAAAACCGAACAUUUUUUUUCUGCCAACACGAUUCUUAGUAGUCAUUCCAUUUGAAGAAGAAAAAGCUUACAAGGCCGUCUCGCCACUCUAAAACAAGAACAGUAAAAACUUGAACAAGAAUAACAAAAAGACACACGAGAAAAAUGCUCUAAGAGAAGCCAUCUGCCAGCAGGCAACAUGUCCAAUGGCCUUGAGCUUAUCUUGCAUUAUCCUCUGAUUUUCUCCAUCAGUACCAGAACGUCUAGUUCCAUAAAACAGUCAAUCAUUACAGUGUUUCCAGAGCAUACGUGGAUUUGAGGUGGUUGAUGGCAUUUAAUCCCCACUUAGUGGAAAAUGGCAGUCAGAGAACCAAUCACUAUCUUGUGUAAGCCCUUCUGGUUAUAGACUUGAGGUCUGCUGAACUCCAUAUGCUGGGUCACCUCAAAGAGAAAAGGGCAUGGAAACUGAAUCUUAAGCAUGGCCAAUUUCAGCAGGAGGCAUGUAUGUUGCUUCUUCUGCAACCAAUAAAGAGAUUAUCGGGCCAAUAUGAAGUUAACUUCAAUCAGCUGGCCAGUUGAGGUAACCUGCCAGACCUCGGUGACAAGAACUUCAGCAACCAGUUAGACAUGUUGUCUCAAUUAAGCUAAAUGCUAUAGAGACCAGGAUGGUCGUUGAGUCAGUUUUCUUCAGUAGAAACGUUACGAAUGUCGUUGUAUGAAACCACAGUUCCUGACAUCCAUACAUAAAACAUUUGGCAGCCAUAACAUUGUUAUUUGUUCUCUUUUGUCACUUUAGUUCUGCAUCUUGCCGGUUAUCCACUGAAUAUGAAACUCUUUGCAGCAAGUUCUAUCUUCAGACAUAGAAGAACCCAAAGAUAACAGAGGUAAGUAUGACUUGCUCAGUCCUUGACAUCCCAUGCUAUUGUUUAGACUGAGUACCAAUGGGCUAAAUUUUGAGGGCUCACAGUCAGCGGUACCUAUUUUAAGUUGCAGAGGAGUGAUGACCUUCUUUUUGUUGAUGAGGAUUACAUUGUGCAUCUGUCAACUGUUAAGAUACCAAAGAUCAUCUAUAGUAUCAUUGUGCA
Molecule: non-coding RNA, 2111 nt
Organism: Aegilops tauschii subsp. strangulata
Lineage: Eukaryota; Viridiplantae; Streptophyta; Magnoliopsida; Poales; Poaceae
Source: RefSeq, a predicted model, not a curated record